UCAGAUAGAACGUAGACUGGCAAAAUGGUGUUCACAGAGAAUGUACAAUUAUCAAUUUACUACGAAUUCCCUGAUGGAUUUUAUCGAUACUUUAUUAGAGAAGGGUCUGAUGCCCAAUCAAGUUGUGCAGGUUCUAGAUUUUAAAUCUCUCUACCCUUCGAUACGACUAGAACUGGCCUGUCUCUUUCUCUAUCGCUUCAUGUUAGAACACCUACCUAAAAAAUAUGGUGAUCCAGAGUUAGUUAGGACAUUGUCAUCUGAUAAUACACCAGUCGUACUUUGUUUUCAAUGACAAGAUUUAUAUCCAAACACGAGGGGGCCCUAUAGGCAGCCCCGUAGCUGGGGUACUGGCAGAACUGGUGGUACGUUAUAAGGAAUCUAGCAUACAACAUCUCUUGGCCACUAAUACUAUUCUAUAUCAAUGAUAUAUUGAU
RNAcentral lists this long non-coding RNA (434 nucleotides) under Androctonus crassicauda. The record is from RNAcentral. Lineage: Eukaryota; Metazoa; Arthropoda; Arachnida; Scorpiones; Buthidae.